This 376-nucleotide ribosomal RNA is filed under the name uncultured Terriglobales bacterium. RNAcentral's name for it is "bacterial SSU rRNA". It matches the Rfam family "Bacterial small subunit ribosomal RNA", at positions 153 to 507 of the family's 1533-position model. Lineage: Bacteria; Pseudomonadati; Acidobacteriota; Terriglobia; Terriglobales. The record is from RNAcentral.
GAAAGGGACGCUAAUACCGCAUAACAUGCUGUCUUUUUAAGAGAGAGACAUCAUAGCCGGGGACCGCUAGGCCUGGCGCUUGAAGAGGGGCCCGCGCCUGAUUAGCUAGUUGGUGGGGUAAUGGCUCACCAAGGCAACGAUCAGUAUCCGGCCUGAGAGGGCGGACGGACACACUGGGACUGAGACACGGCCCAGACUCCUACGGGAGGCAGCAGUGGGGAAUUGUUCGCAAUGGGCGCAAGCCUGACGACGCAACGCCGCGUGGAGGAUGAAGAUCUUCGGGUCGUAAACUCCUUUCGAUCGAGACGAAUGGCCAUCGGGCUAACAUCCUGAUGGAGUGACGGUACCGAGAGAAGAAGCCCCGGCUAACUCCGUG